ACCGCAGAAAUGGUUAAUGCGCUUGGCUGCUAACCAAAAGGUUGGAAGUUCAAUUCUACCCAGAGGUA
Molecule: transfer RNA, 68 nt
Filed under: Loxodonta africana (African savanna elephant)
Lineage: Eukaryota; Metazoa; Chordata; Mammalia; Proboscidea; Elephantidae
Rfam family: tRNA
About the family: Transfer RNA (tRNA) molecules are approximately 80 nucleotides in length. Their secondary structure includes four short double-helical elements and three loops (D, anti-codon, and T loops).
Source: Rfam by way of RNAcentral